This 332-nucleotide ribosomal RNA is filed under the name Ensifer fredii. RNAcentral's name for it is "Sinorhizobium fredii bacterial SSU rRNA". It matches the Rfam family "Bacterial small subunit ribosomal RNA", at positions 1 to 354 of the family's 1533-position model. Lineage: Bacteria; Pseudomonadati; Pseudomonadota; Alphaproteobacteria; Hyphomicrobiales; Rhizobiaceae. The record is from RNAcentral.
UUGAAUUCUCAACUUGAGAGUUUGAUCCUGGCUCAGAACGAACGCUGGCGGCAGGCUUAACACAUGCAAGUCGAGCGCCCCGCAAGGGGAGCGGCAGACGGGUGAGUAACGCGUGGGAAUCUACCCUUUUCUACGGAAUAACGCAGGGAAACUUGUGCUAAUACCGUAUGAGCCCUUCGGGGGAAAGAUUUAUCGGGAAAGGAUGAGCCCGCGUUGGAUUAGCUAGUUGGUGGGGUAAAGGCCUACCAAGGCGACGAUCCAUAGCUGGUCUGAGAGGAUGAUCAGCCACAUUGGGACUGAGACACGGCCCAAACUCCUACGGGAGGCAGCAG